AUCAUGACCCAGGGUACACCCUGUGUCCACAAUGCAAAGAACUGCCUUCUAAGGAGGCACAGGUGAAAUGAUCUCAGCGCUCUGCCCACUUCGCACAGUGCUCAGUUCUGGGUCACACACACACAGGUACAGCAUUUUGUAGAAACUGCCAUAAAAAAAUGAAAUGCCCCAUGCCAUGGUUUAGAAGUCUAGAACAUGCUAAAACUGGAAGAAGAGGGUAUUUUAUUUUUAUGUAGCCUCCAUUUUUGCCUUCUCCUGGGGAACCUACAGGCAAGCAGCAUGCUUAUUUUGCUUUCAAACAUGCUAGAGUUGGAGGAACAGAACCGUCUGGAACUCCUGCAGUGACCACUUAAUCGUGUAUCUAUCUCUCUGAUGGUUUCCUGGAAGGAUGGCGCCAUACGCACAUAGUUGCUUAUGUC
RNAcentral lists this long non-coding RNA (419 nucleotides) under Mus pahari (shrew mouse). RNAcentral's name for it is "lncRNA (MGP_PahariEiJ_G0002938.1)". The record is from RNAcentral. Lineage: Eukaryota; Metazoa; Chordata; Mammalia; Rodentia; Muridae.